Long non-coding RNA from Octopus sinensis (East Asian common octopus), 96 nucleotides. RefSeq lists it as uncharacterized. The record is from RefSeq and is a predicted model, not a curated record. NCBI's taxonomy places the organism in Eukaryota, Metazoa, Mollusca, Cephalopoda, Octopoda, Octopodidae. The transcript has 3 exons.
UUUUUCCAAUUGGAGGUAUUGUUGAAAAAUGUACAUGAUGAAAGUUGCUAAUGAUGAGAGUAUGAGGACGUAAAUAAAAAUAUUAAAGAAACAGGU